AUUUUGCCCCCCUCCCCCUCCAUUUAUGUUGUGUGCAUGGAAUAAUGGAAUAGGACCUCGGUUCUAUUUUGUUGGUUUUCGGAAUCUGAGGUAAUGAUCAAUGGGGACAGGCGGGGGCAUUCGUAUUGCGACGUUAGAGGUGAAAUUCUUGGAUCGUCGCAAGACGGACCGAAGCGAAAGCAUUUGCCAAGUAUGUUCUCGUCGAUCAAGAACGAAAGUUAGAGGUUCGAAGGCGAUCAGAUACCGCCCUAGUUCUAACCAUAAACUAUGCCUGCCAGCGAUCCGCCGAAGUUCCUCCGAUGACUCGGCGGGCAGCUUCCGGGAAACCAGAGCUUUUGGGUUCCGGGGGAAGUAUGGUUGCAAAGCUGAAACUUAAAGGAAUUGACGGAAGGGCACCACCAGGAGUGGAGCCUGCGGCUUAAUUUGACUCAACACGGGAAAACUCACCAGGCCCGGACACCGGAAGGAUUGACAGAUUGAGAGCUCUUUCUUGAUUCGGUGGGUGGUGGUGCAUGGCCGUUCUUAGUUGGUGGAGCGAUUUGUCUGGUUAAUUCCGAUAACGAACGAGACUCUAGCCUACUAACUAGGCGUACCCGGUAUCCACAAUCGUGCUACCGGCGAUCAAAUUUCUUCUUAGAGGGACAGGCGGCUUCUAGCCGCACGAGACUGAGCAAUAACAGGUCUGUGAUGCCCUUAGAUGUCCUGGGCCGCACGCGCGCUACACUGAAGGAAUCAGCGUGUCUUCCCUGUCCGAAAGGACCGGGUAAUCCGCUGAACCUCCUUUGUGCUAGGGAUUGGGGCUUGCAAUUGUUCCCCAUGAACGAGGAAUCCCAGUAAGCGCGAGUCAUUGG
RNAcentral lists this ribosomal RNA (851 nucleotides) under Pochazia shantungensis. RNAcentral describes it as "SSU rRNA". It matches the Rfam family "Eukaryotic small subunit ribosomal RNA", at positions 784 to 1634 of the family's 1831-position model. Lineage: Eukaryota; Metazoa; Arthropoda; Insecta; Hemiptera; Ricaniidae. The record is from RNAcentral.